RNAcentral lists this ribosomal RNA (100 nucleotides) under Bacillus cereus. Its description in RNAcentral is "partial 23S ribosomal RNA". It matches the Rfam family "Bacterial large subunit ribosomal RNA", at positions 2828 to 2925 of the family's 2925-position model. Lineage: Bacteria; Bacillati; Bacillota; Bacilli; Caryophanales; Bacillaceae. The record is from RNAcentral.
UAAGAUUCCUGAAAGAUGAUCAGGUUGAUAGGUUCGAGGUGGAAGCAUGGUGACAUGUGGAGCUGACGAAUACUAAUAGAUCGAGGACUUAACCAUAUAA